GUGCUCAUUCAGGAGCCCGUACACUAAAACUGGAACAGUACAGAGAAGAUCAGCAUGCCCCCUGCACGAGGAUGACACGCAAAUUCGUGAAGCAUUCCAUAUUUUU
Small nuclear RNA from Mirounga angustirostris (Northern elephant seal), 106 nucleotides. NCBI's taxonomy places the organism in Eukaryota, Metazoa, Chordata, Mammalia, Carnivora, Phocidae. The record is from RefSeq and is a predicted model, not a curated record.